AGGAUUGCCUUUUCUUUGUUAUGGAGUAUGUGAAUGGGAGAGACCUCUAUUUCCAUAUCGUGGUGAUGGGGCACUUUGAUCUACAAAGCACACAAUUCUAUGUUGCAGAGAUUAUUUGUGGGCUCCAAUUUCUUCACACAAAUGGAGUCAUAUACAGGGAUUUGAAGCUGAACAAUGUGAUGCUGGAUGGAGAUGGACAUAUUAAAAUUGUGGACUUUGGAUUGUGCAAGGACAACAUGAUUGAUGGGAAAGCAAUGAGCUUCUGUGGCACUGAGCACUACAUUGCA
This is a long non-coding RNA of Anguilla rostrata (American eel), 287 nucleotides long. RefSeq lists it as uncharacterized. NCBI's taxonomy places the organism in Eukaryota, Metazoa, Chordata, Actinopteri, Anguilliformes, Anguillidae. The transcript has 3 exons. The record is from RefSeq and is a predicted model, not a curated record.